Molecule: ribosomal RNA, 253 nt
Filed under: uncultured bacterium
Lineage: Bacteria
Description: partial 16S ribosomal RNA
Rfam family: Bacterial small subunit ribosomal RNA
Source: RNAcentral
UACGGAGGGUGCAAGCGUUAAUCGGAAUUACUGGGCGUAAAGCGCACGCAGGUGGCUGAGUCAGUCGAUUGUGAAAGCCCUGGGCUUAACCUGGGAAUUGCAGUCGAUACUACUUAGCUAGAGUAUGGGAGAGGGCAGUGGAAUUCCCGGUGUAGCGGUGAAAUUUGUAGAUAUCGGGAGGAACACCGGUGGCGAAGGCGGCGACCUGGGUCGAUACUGACGCUGAGGUGCGAAAGCGUGGGGAGCAAACAGG